GAGGUUAUUGGGCAACGCAAAUCCAGGCAGCUGGGCUGGAGGCGGUGGUCGCUAGGCUAGGUCAAGGGGGACCGCCUGGGCAGCAACCAUUCCCCUAUUCCUUGUCCUCAGCUUCCCUCCUGCCGGGCACCUCUCGCAGCGCAGGAUGUGGACUGAGUCAAAGCGGUGGGGGGAAGGGAGCAGGUCCCAGACGACCACGAUUCCCGAGGUUCCCACUCCCUGGAGACUCAGUAUGGCUGUACCGCUCCGGUGGUCUGGUCAGCGCACCUUGCCUCUGCACACCCAGCCUAGCCAUUCUCGAUCAUAACUGCUAAAAGGAGCAAAGGAGGAAGGCUUAAGAAGUAGAAUCCACGUGUAAAUCCAAACCCUUAUAUUAGUCUCCCCAUACCCCCAAAUCCGCCUCCAGGUAGCUCUUUAACCAGAACCCCCGGCAGGUAAAUUAAUUUGACUGCUUGGAGUUAAGAGCUAAAUAAGUUUGGGUGAAAAAAUGAGCUAGGACCUUCGGCGAUCCGGGAAAGGAAGACUGAGUCCCGACGUCAAAAGGCCCCGGCCUCGCAUUGGAGGCUACCUGAUUGCUGGAAAACUGUAGCGUUCAAGACAGUGUUGCCACUCAUUCUGUGCUGGUGAAUCCGUGUACACCAUGAUACCAAGACUUAGGGGUGCCAUCAGGCCCUUCUGGAGCCAGCUUCCUACUUGGAGGACACAGAAAAGACCACCGUGCUUCUGCAAUGUGGAUUCCCAGCACCACUUCAAGGUUCCAAAUCCCCGCUGGACCACUAACUGCCUGUCCUGCUGCCCCAGGACUAGAUGGGAAGCACAACAACAUAUACAAAUAAUCCUCCUGUGAACAGGGACACAAGUGAGAAUGACACCUUUAGAGAGCCCGAGGUGAAGUCUGUGUCCAUGUCUACCAGAAUUUGGCCUAUAAUCUUGACCUCAUCAUGAAGAGCUGCAACCAUCUGACCUAAUGUUACUCAGUAAUCUUCCUGUCAGAAUAAUACGUGAUGAGUAUUUUCAUUUUGUUAUCAUGGUUGUGAUCCUGAUUCCCUGAGGCUGGAUGACUACCUGGGUGGGAGCAUUACUCACUUAACAAAUACAUAUGGGAGUUUCCCGGUUGUCAGGCAUGAAGGAAGCACUGGGGCACCGGACAAACAUGGUGCCCACCUUCAAGGAGUUACAGUCCAGUGUG
Equus caballus (horse) is the source of this 1189-nucleotide non-coding RNA. NCBI's taxonomy places the organism in Eukaryota, Metazoa, Chordata, Mammalia, Perissodactyla, Equidae. The record is from RefSeq and is a predicted model, not a curated record.